This 25-nucleotide non-coding RNA is filed under the name Rattus norvegicus (Norway rat). Lineage: Eukaryota; Metazoa; Chordata; Mammalia; Rodentia; Muridae. The record is from RNAcentral.
UUAGUGACCAAGUAUGGCCUCAGGU